UACAGAGGGGGCAAGCGUUGUUCGGAAUUACUGGGCGUAAAGCGUGCGCAGGCGGCUUUGCAAGACAGAUGUGAAAUCCCCGGGCUUAACCUGGGAACUGCAUUUGUGACUGCAAGGCUGGAGUGCGGCAGAGGGGGAUGGAAUUCCGCGUGUAGCAGUGAAAUGCGUAGAUAUGCGGAGGAACACCGAUGGCGAAGGCAAUCCCCUGGGCCUGCACUGACGCUCAUGCACGAAAGCGUGGGGAGCAAACAGG
Molecule: ribosomal RNA, 253 nt
Filed under: uncultured bacterium
Lineage: Bacteria
Description: partial 16S ribosomal RNA
Rfam family: Bacterial small subunit ribosomal RNA
Source: RNAcentral